RNAcentral lists this ribosomal RNA (433 nucleotides) under uncultured Coriobacteriaceae bacterium. RNAcentral's name for it is "partial 16S ribosomal RNA". It matches the Rfam family "Bacterial small subunit ribosomal RNA", at positions 341 to 792 of the family's 1533-position model. Lineage: Bacteria; Bacillati; Actinomycetota; Coriobacteriia; Coriobacteriales; Coriobacteriaceae. The record is from RNAcentral.
ACGGAAGGCAGCAGUGGGGAAUCUUGCGCAAUGGGGGCAACCCUGACGCAGCAACGCCGCGUGCGGGAUGACGGCCUUCGGGUUGUAAACCGCUUUCAGCAGGGAAGAGACUGACGGUACCUGCAGAAGAAGCUCCGGCUAACUACGUGCCAGCAGCCGCGGUAAUACGUAGGGAGCAAGCGUUAUCCGGAUUUAUUGGGCGUAAAGCGCGCGUAGGCGGCUCGUUAAGCAAGGUGUCAAAGCCCGGGGCUCAACCCCGGCCCGCACCUUGAACUGGCGGGCUUGAGUUCGGUAGGGGAAAGUGGAAUUCCCAGUGUAGCGGUGAAAUGCGCAGAUAUUGGGAAGAACACCGGUGGCGAAGGCGGCUUUCUGGGCCGUAACUGACGCUGAGACGCGAAAGCUAGGGGAGCGAACAGGAUUAGAUACCCUGGUA